CGGUGUGAUCAUUCCAAUGAUAAAGCACCGGAUCCCAUCAUAACUCUGUAGUUAAGCACACUUGGGAUAGAAUAGUACUGGGAUGGGUGACCUACCGGGAAGUCCUAGUGUUGCAUCCU
Molecule: non-coding RNA, 119 nt
Organism: Picea glauca (white spruce)
Lineage: Eukaryota; Viridiplantae; Streptophyta; Pinopsida; Pinales; Pinaceae
Source: Rfam